GAGACUCUGUGCGCGUGCAUAUCAAUAAGCGGAGGAAAAGAAACUAACAAGGAUUCCCCUAGUAACGGCGAGUGAAGCGGGAAGAGCUCAAAUUUGAAAUCUUAAAGGGUUUCCCUUUACGAAUUGUAGUUUAAAGAAGUGUUUUCUGUUGGAGUUUCGGUGAAAGUUCUUUGGAAUAGGACAUCAUAGAGGGUGAGAAUCCCGUAUUUGACCGUUACUUUCCAGCUGUGUGAUACACUUUCAAAGAGUCGGAUUGUUUGGGAAUGCAGUCCAAAAUGGGUGGUAAAUUUCAUCUAAAGCUAAAUAUUGGCGAGAGACCGAUAGCGAACAAGUACCGUGAGGGAAAGAUGAAAAGAACUUUGAAAAGAGAGUUAAACAGUACGUGAAACUGUCAAAAGGGAAGCGUUUGACACCAGUGUUGUUUUUCCGAAAAUCAAUUACGAAUGUUUUGUUUUUGAGAAGUUAUGACUUCAUCGGCUUGCUUCUCUCUUUACGAAACUUUCUUAAUGCACCUUUCGGUUAACAAGUCAACAUCAAUUUCUUUUGUUGUAAAAGGGUAUGAGGAAGGGUGGCUUACUCUUCGGCGUAAAGUGUUUAUAGCCUUGUACCUCUGCAAUCGGAGAGAUUGAGGAUCUAGCAGCGUAGACUCCUUCGGGGUUAGAUACACUUGUGCUAAGCUAUAGCCUUUUCAUAGACAACUUGUUGACUAUGCUCUAGUCAUGUAGCUUACUCGCUUAUGCUAUUUUACCUACGCUUAGGAUGUUGAAGAUGUAGCACAUCAU
Molecule: ribosomal RNA, 782 nt
Filed under: uncultured Neocallimastigales
Lineage: Eukaryota; Fungi; Neocallimastigomycota; Neocallimastigomycetes; Neocallimastigales
Description: partial large subunit ribosomal RNA
Rfam family: Eukaryotic large subunit ribosomal RNA
Source: RNAcentral